Molecule: non-coding RNA, 28 nt
Filed under: Oryctolagus cuniculus (rabbit)
Lineage: Eukaryota; Metazoa; Chordata; Mammalia; Lagomorpha; Leporidae
Also listed under: 3 other names
Source: RNAcentral
GCUGGGCCCAUAACCCAGAGGUCGAUGG